AGCAUGUGCACACUUGUCAUCUUUAUAUAUCUCCACCUGUGCACCUCGUGUAGACUUGGAUAUGGAAUUGACCUUUUGUGUCUCUUCCUUACAUUUCCCGGUCUAUGUUUUCUUCAUAUACCCUAAUGUAUGUUUAUAGAAUGUCAUAAACGGGCUUUCAUGGCCUAUAAAAACCUAUACAACUUUCAGCAACGGAUCUCUUGGCUCUCGCAUCGAUGAAGAACGCAGCGAAAUGCGAUAAGUAAUGUGAAUUGCAGAAUUCAGUGAAUCAUCGAAUCUUUGAACGCACCUUGCGCUCCUUGGUAUUCCGAGGAGCAUGCCUGUUUGAGUGUCAUUUAUAUAUCAAUCUCCUUCAGCUUUUGCUUGAUUGAGUAUUGGAUGUGGGGGUGUAUUAUUGUUGGCCUCUCUUCUGAGGUCAGCUCCCCUGAAAUGUAUUAGCGUGAACAAUUUUUUGUUAGCCGUUCAUUGGUGUGAUAAUCUAUCUACGCUAUUGUCGGACUAGUCAAAGUUCAGCUUCUAACAGAUCCAUUCGCUUGGACAUAUAUCUUUUAAUAACGUGGCCUCAAAU
This 568-nucleotide ribosomal RNA is filed under the name uncultured Cortinarius. RNAcentral's name for it is "eukaryotic LSU rRNA". The stretch from base 181 to 334 matches the Rfam family "5.8S ribosomal RNA". The record is from RNAcentral. Lineage: Eukaryota; Fungi; Basidiomycota; Agaricomycetes; Agaricales; Cortinariaceae.